CUGAAAUGCUUAUUUCAUGUGUCAUUGGUACAAAUUUUAUAGAACUCAUACAGUCAGGUUCUUUCCCUCUCUCGUGUGCAGCCUGCUCAUCUCUCCAGCAUGUGGAAAAUAACACUUCUGGUUCUGUGCACUGUGCUUGCUCUGAGAGGGUUUGCAAAGGGGGCUCCCCUGAGGCCAGAAGAAAAAUGGAAACCUUUGGAUAAUCCCAGAAAUCGAGAUCUGUUUUUCAGAACGCUCCAGGCUUAUUUUUUGGGGAGAGGCCUUGAUCUCCGAAAGUUCCUAGAUACUUUCUCCAUAAAUAAUGACAGACCGAGAUCUGUAGCUUUCUAUCUGGAUCCUGUUUCUUCAGCAUUUGCAGAUUAUGAAGAAAAGAAAAAAAUGUUUCAAAACUACCUCAAAGGCUGAAGGAAGCUGCUGACUGAGGUGGUUACUCUUGGACUUCAUGUGAAAAGGAAGCACACAGGGCAAAAUGUUACUGCUUUGGGG
Molecule: long non-coding RNA, 486 nt
Filed under: Pelusios castaneus (West African mud turtle)
Lineage: Eukaryota; Metazoa; Chordata; Testudines; Pelomedusidae
Description: lncRNA (ENSPCEG00000005460.1)
Source: RNAcentral